AAAAAAAAAAAGGAAGAUGAUUAGAUUAGAUUUUUUUUUAGAGGAAUCUGAGAAAGUGGGCACGCGUGCUGCUUUUAGGUUGUCGUUUUCUGGUAAUUGAGAAGGAUUUAGACAUUGUGAAAGAAGCGGCUUUGCCUGUCUGCUUUUCACAUAGUUUUUUAUUUUUAUUUUUAUGCUUACGUUACUCACAUUUUGCUUUUUUUUUUUUUUUUUUUUUUUGUGGAAAGUUUCACAUUUUCUUCCCUUGUAUAUUUCUCACCCCAAAUAAUAAAAUUAGAAGAAAAAUCA
This 288-nucleotide unclassified non-coding RNA is filed under the name Hevea brasiliensis (rubber tree). Lineage: Eukaryota; Viridiplantae; Streptophyta; Magnoliopsida; Malpighiales; Euphorbiaceae. The record is from RNAcentral.